This is a long non-coding RNA of Salvelinus sp. IW2-2015, 577 nucleotides long. RefSeq lists it as uncharacterized. NCBI's taxonomy places the organism in Eukaryota, Metazoa, Chordata, Actinopteri, Salmoniformes, Salmonidae. The record is from RefSeq and is a predicted model, not a curated record.
GGCUCCUCUGCUUCCUCCUGCAUGCAUUGAUCCUGCCUCAGCCUCACCACUGAGCGCCACAUCACUACCUGUCUCAGUAUGGAGGAACAAAUCUUCCGUAAUUCGAAAAAUUAGUAAAUAAAUAAAUGCACACAUAAAUAGAUAAAUAAUGAAUAAAAUUGGAGAUAACAUUGAUUAUAUGCUGCUGUGCCGCACACGCCCAAUAAAAGCACACACAAAAAACAUUGUCAUUGCCUAGUUUUGGAACACUGAGCCAGCCAUUGACUGCACCAGGUGGCUGUGUUAUGAGUGGGUCGCAUUCGACAAUAAGGCAGCGGACUACCGCCAUAUAGUUUUGAAAUUAGAAGACCAAGAGACGGGAGUAGGUAGGCAAGAAGGAGUCGACCGGGAUUGACCAGAAAAUCAUGGUAAACUAACGUUAAUGAGCAGGACAUUUCUCUACGUCCAAGUUGAGGCUUGCUACCGGCAGGAGCAUGAAGCACUCCAACAGCGAUACCGAGACAGAAUGGUCCUCCUGACUAACUACCUGCGAUCUCUAGAGCAGAGAAGUGUGUCUGCUGAGCUAUGAAACUUUAGA